AUUGGCUUCCUCUUCCGUUUCAGAACCGAGAGAGCUUCCAUUUGGUGUCGAGCAACUGUUGCUGAAAGUCACACUGCUACUGUCACUCUCGGCUCUUGUAAAUUUUGAUGCAGUACCCUGGAAGAACACACCUGAAUAAAGAAAUCGAUCUCGAUCGAUGGGAUAGAGAUAUGGAAAGUAAAGAACUCGAACCGAAGAUCGACGAAUCGUUAUCACCGAACGAUUUACAAGCUGGCCAGAUUUCUUGCGUAGAAUUUACGAGACGGGAAAAACCGAGUUGCUUGUCACUCCAACGAACACGAACGACUAAUACACGUGAACUUUGCGCUAACGUUGCAUUCAAAGAUCCUGC
RNA transcript from Vespa mandarinia (Asian giant hornet), 352 nucleotides. It is a transcript of the gene named nucleoside diphosphate kinase 5, with no coding region annotated. Lineage: Eukaryota; Metazoa; Arthropoda; Insecta; Hymenoptera; Vespidae. The record is from RefSeq and is a predicted model, not a curated record.